GAAAGGAAUACAUUUAAUAAAAAUAUGAAUGCAACAUAUUGAUGUAUACACUUAAGGAAGAUAUUCCGAGGACCAAGAGAGUUCUUCAUUCUAAAUUGUCAACUUUAAAAUAAAAUACCCAGUUAUUAUACUAGCAAAAUGACUUUAUUUGAAAAUAGCAAAAGAAUUACAAUUCAGGACAUGCAAACAUUGGUGAACCACAGGCAAAUCCACAGAACAAAACAGGGGAGCUUGUUUUUAUAGAGAAAAAGGGAGAAUGGGGACGAGUUGUUCUGAAGGAAAGUCCACUGGGAGAAAGUAACAGUUCAGGGCGGCAAUGGCUUCUCAUUGGCUGAGCCGUGGCAUUUUACCUUGCCUUAGCUUGUUGCUGGGCAAGAAGAAAAUCUUCCUUCCUCUUCCUAGAGUAAAGUAGUAGGAAACAUCCUGAUGGGGACACAAGAUUCAGUCCCUUCCUCUUUGGGGUAAUCAACAGUGAGUGGUAGAUAUUGUGAGAAUCCCAACAUUAAUUUUACUUGAGAUUUCCAUUAUUAACGUUCACAAAGUGUAGCAGAGUUUAUCAGGGAUGCUCAGGGUCAAAUUUCAUGAAAAAAAAAUAGAUGGAAGAUUCACAAGUUAGAAAACCAGGAGUUAUCAUGAUGAAGAUGAGAAAAGAGCAUGCACUUCUCUGAGUGGAAAUGAGUGAACAUGGGAAAAAAGUAAUAUGGAAAAAGGAGAAUGGCAGCAGAUGUAUGAAAGAAGUUAGUUGGACACAAGGCAAAAAAAGGUGGAAAUAAGAAAAUGUUGAAAUAUACAGUAACAUAUUUUGCAUCUAUAUAUGAACUACAUAUAAUCUACAUCUGUAUCUAUAUUCUAUAUCUAUAUAUAUACACAAAGAGAGGACAAAGUAACACAGGCUUCAUUCAUCUCAAGAGAGAGAAAGAAAUAAGAGGCCAGUCUCGGGGUCAACAGUGGCCCUCUGGAGCAGCUGCAUGUAGGUGAGGUUCUCGUGCGUGUUGGGGUCGAAGAAGCCCUUGGUGUCGUCGCUCGGGUCCGCCAGCACGCGGUUCAUCUCCUCGUCGAAGUAGCCGCGCUGGUAGGCCACCUCCACGGGCACGCGGUGGCUGUGCACGGGGUCGAUGACGCCGCCCGUGGCGAUCUGGGCCUCCAGCAGGCGGAUGCCGUGGUCCCUCACGAUGAGGUCCUUCUUCAUGGCCUGGAAGAGGGAGAUCUGCUCCCCGGUGUAGGGGUCGGUGUAGCCGGUGACGGCGCGCUCGGCCGACAGCAGCUUGUCCUGGAUCUCGCCGCCCACCACGCCCGCGGCCACCGCCUCCUCCACGGACAGCCUCUGGUUGCCCACGGGGUCGAUGACGAAGCCGGUGGCGGCCUGCGCCUCCAGCAGCACCAGGGCCGUGCCGGGCCGCAGGACGCCCUUCCACAUGGCCUGGUAGAUGCUCAUCUUCUCCUGCCGCCCGGGCUGGUCCUUGGCGGGCACCAGCACGCCCGCGAUGCAGCUCGUGCCCUCCAGGUAGCGCUUGACCGAGUCCAUCUCCGUCACCUCCUGCAGGGUCUUCGUGCCCUGGGCCAGGUCCCGCAGGGUCUCGGGGCCCAGGAUCCCGGACGUGCGCAGCUCGGACGCGGACACCUGGCGCCUC
This 1631-nucleotide long non-coding RNA is filed under the name Equus asinus (donkey). Its description in RNAcentral is "lncRNA (ENSEASG00005027123.1)". Lineage: Eukaryota; Metazoa; Chordata; Mammalia; Perissodactyla; Equidae. The record is from RNAcentral.